ACGUCCAUCGUCUAAUGGAUAGGGCAGAGGUCUUCUAAACCUUGGGUAUAGGUUCAAAUCCUAUUGGACGUA
This 72-nucleotide transfer RNA is filed under the name Adiantum capillus-veneris. It matches the Rfam family "tRNA". Rfam says of the family: Transfer RNA (tRNA) molecules are approximately 80 nucleotides in length. Their secondary structure includes four short double-helical elements and three loops (D, anti-codon, and T loops). Lineage: Eukaryota; Viridiplantae; Streptophyta; Polypodiopsida; Polypodiales; Pteridaceae. The record is from Rfam by way of RNAcentral.